AGGACGAACGCUGGCGGCGCGCCUCAUACAUGCAAGUCGAGCGAGAAAUCCGGGGCUUGCCCCGGGUGGAGAGCGGCGAACGGGUGAGGAACACGUGAGGAACCUGCCCCGAAGACCGGGAUAACACCGGGAAACCGGUGCUAAUACCGGAUGCCCUCACCGGAUCACAGGAUGCGGUGAGGAAAUGGAUUCCGCUUCGGGAUGGUCUCGCGGCCUAUCAGCUAGUUGGUGGGGUAACGGCCCACCAAGGCUUCGACGGGUAGCUGGUCUGAGAGGAUGUCCAGCCACACUGGGACUGAGACACGGCCCAGACUCCUACGGGAGGCAGCAGUAGGGAAUCUUGCGCAAUGGGCGAAAGCCUGACGCAGCGACGCCGCGUGCGGGAUGAAGGCCUUCGGGUUGUAAACCGCUUUCAGCAGGGACGAAAUUGACGGUACCUGCAGAAGAGGCCGGCAACUACGUGCCAGCAGCCGCGGUAA
This 479-nucleotide ribosomal RNA is filed under the name uncultured bacterium. RNAcentral's name for it is "SSU rRNA". It matches the Rfam family "Bacterial small subunit ribosomal RNA", at positions 26 to 523 of the family's 1533-position model. The record is from RNAcentral.